RNAcentral lists this ribosomal RNA (1084 nucleotides) under uncultured bacterium. Its description in RNAcentral is "bacterial SSU rRNA". It matches the Rfam family "Bacterial small subunit ribosomal RNA", at positions 8 to 1105 of the family's 1533-position model. The record is from RNAcentral.
AGAGUUUGAUCAUGGCUCAGGAUGAACGCUGGCGGCGUGCUUAACACAUGCAAGUCGAACGGAAAGGCCACAGCUUGCUGUGGUACUCGAGUGGCGAACGGGUGAGUAACACGUGGGUGAUCUGCCCUGUACUUCGGGAUAAGCUUGGGAAACUGGGUCUAAUACCGGAUAUGACCACUUUUUGGAUGGGGUGGUGGAAAGCUUUUGCGGUAUGGGAUGAGCUCGCGGCCUAUCAGCUUGUUGGUGGGGUAAUGGCCUACCAAGGCGUCGACGGGUAGCCGGCCUGAGAGGGUGUACGGCCACAUUGGGACUGAGGUACGGCCCAGACUCCUACGGGAGGCAGCAGUGGGGAAUAUUGCACAAUGGGCGCAAGCCUGAUGCAGCGACGCCGCGUGGGGGAUGACGGCCUUCGGGUUGUAAACUCCUUUCGUCAGGGACGAAGCGUAAGUGACGGUACCUGGAUAAGAAGCACCGGCUAACUACGUGCCAGCAGCCGCGGUAAUACGUAGGGUGCGAGCGUUGUCCGGAAUUACUGGGCGUAAAGAGCUCGUAGGUGGUUUGUCGCGUCGUUUGUGUAAGUCCACGGCUUAACUGUGGGAUGGCAGGCGAUACGGGCAUAACUUGAGUGCUGUAGGGGAGACUGGAAUUCCUGGUGUAGCGGUGAAAUGCGCAGAUAUCAGGAGGAACACCGAUGGCGAAGGCAGGUCUCUGGGCAGUAACUGACGCUGAGGAGCGAAAGCAUGGGUAGCGAACAGGAUUAGAUACCCUGGUAGUCCAUGCCGUAAACGGUGGGCGCUAGGUGUGAGUCCCUUCCACGGGGUUCGUGCCGUAGCUAACGCAUUAAGCGCCCCGCCUGGGGAGUACGGCCGCAAGGCUAAAACUCAGAGGAAUUGACGGGGGCCCGCACAAGCGGCGGAGCAUGUGGAUUAAUUCGAUGCAACGCGAAGAACCUUACCUGGGCUUGACAUACACCAGAUCGGCGCAGAGAUGCGUUUUCCCUUGUGGUUGGUGUACAGGUGGUGCAUGGUUGUCGUCAGCUCGUGUCGUGAGAUGUUGGGUUAANUCCCGCAACGAGCGCAACCCU